Molecule: ribosomal RNA, 501 nt
Filed under: uncultured soil bacterium
Lineage: Bacteria
Description: bacterial SSU rRNA
Rfam family: Bacterial small subunit ribosomal RNA
Source: RNAcentral
AGAGUUUGAUCCUGGCUCAGGACGAACGCUGGCGGCGUGCUUAACACAUGCAAGUCGAACGGAAAGCGCUUUUCGGAGUGACUCGAGUGGCGAACGGGUGAGUAACACGUGGGUGAUCUGCCCUGCACUUUGGGAUAAGCCUGGGAAACUGGGUCUAAUACCGGAUAGGACUACGAAUCGCAUGGUUUGUGGUGGAAAGCUUUUGCGGUGUGGGAUGGGCCCGCGGCCUAUCAGCUUGUUGGUGGGGUGAUGGCCUACCAAGGCGACGACGGGUAGCCGGCCUGAGAGGGUGUCCGGCCACACUGGGACUGAGAUACGGCCCAGACUCCUACGGGAGGCAGCAGUGGGGAAUAUUGCACAAUGGGCGCAAGCCUGAUGCAGCGACGCCGCGUGAGGGAUGACGGCCUUCGGGUUGUAAACCUCUUUCAACAGGGACGAAGCGUAAGUGACGGUACCUGUAGAAGAAGCACCGGCCAACUACGUGCCAGCAGCCGCGGUAAU